UACGUAGGCAGCGAGCGUUGUUCGGAGUUACUGGGCGUAAAGGGUGUGUAGGCGGUUUUCUAAGUUUGGUGUGAAAUCUCCCGGCUCAACCGGGAGGGUGCGCCGAAAACUGGGGAGACUAGAGUGCGGGAUGGGAGAGUAGAAUUCCUGGUGUAGCGGUGAAAUGCGUAGAUAUCAGGAGGAAUACCGGUGGUGUAGACGGCUCUCUGGACCGCCACUGACGCUGAGACACGAAAAGCGUGGGUAGCAAACAGG
RNAcentral lists this ribosomal RNA (255 nucleotides) under uncultured bacterium. RNAcentral describes it as "partial 16S ribosomal RNA". It matches the Rfam family "Bacterial small subunit ribosomal RNA", at positions 524 to 776 of the family's 1533-position model. The record is from RNAcentral.